Molecule: ribosomal RNA, 1605 nt
Filed under: Haemophilus influenzae
Lineage: Bacteria; Pseudomonadati; Pseudomonadota; Gammaproteobacteria; Pasteurellales; Pasteurellaceae
Description: bacterial LSU rRNA
Rfam family: Bacterial large subunit ribosomal RNA
Source: RNAcentral
CUGUUGGGUAGGGGAGCGUUGUGUAAGCGGAAGAAGGUUGAUCGAGAGGUGGGCUGGACGUAUCACAAGUGCGAAUGCUGACAUAAGUAACGAUAAAACGGGUGAAAAACCCGUUCGCCGGAAGACCAAGGGUUCCUGUCCAACGUUAAUCGGGGCAGGGUGAGUCGGCUCCUAAGGCGAGGCUGAAAAGCGUAGUCGAUGGGAAACAGGUUAAUAUUCCUGUACUUGGUAAAGCUGCGAUGUGGGGACGGAGUAGGUUAGGUUAUCGCACUGUUGGAUAUGUGCGUUUAAGUUGGUAGGUGGGAAGUUUAGGCAAAUCCGGACUUCCUUAACACAGAGAGAUGAUGACGAGGCUCUACGGAGCUGAAGUAACUGAUACCACACUUCCAGGAAAAGCCACUAAGCGAAAGGCUUUACUAAACCGUACUGAAAACCGACACAGGUGGUCAGGUAGAGAAUACUCAGGCGCUUGAGAGAACUCGGGUGAAGGAACUAGGCAAAAUAGCACCGUAACUUCGGGAGAAGGUGCGCCGGCGUAGAUUGUAAGGGCUAGCCCCUGAAGGUUGAACCGGUCGAAGAUACCAGCUGGCUGCAACUGUUUAUUAAAAACACAGCACUCUGCAAACACGAAAGUGGAGGUAUAGGGUGUGAUGCCUGCCCGGUGCUGGAAGGUUAAUUGAUGGUGUCAUCGAAAGAGAAGCACCUGAUCGAAGCCCCAGUAAACGGCGGCCGUAACUAUAACGGUCCUAAGGUAGCGAAAUUCCUUGUCGGGUAAGUUCCGACCUGCACGAAUGGCAUAAUGAUGGCCAGGCUGUCUCCACCCGAGACUCAGUGAAAUUGAAAUCGCCGUGAAGAUGCGGUGUACCCGCGGCUAGACGGAAAGACCCCGUGAACCUUUACUAUAGCUUGACACUGAACAUUGAAUUUUGAUGUGUAGGAUAGGUGGGAGACUUAGAAGUAGGAACGCCAGUUUCUAUGGAGUCAUCCUUGAAAUACCACCCUUUAACGUUUGAUGUUCUAACGAAGAUGACGAAACGUGGUCUCGGACAGUGUCUGGUGGGUAGUUUGACUGGGGCGGUCUCCUCCCAAAGCGUAACGGAGGAGCACGAAGGUUUGCUAAUCACGGUCGGACAUCGUGAGGUUAGUGCAAUGGUAUAAGCAAGCUUAACUGCGAGACAGACAAGUCGAGCAGGUACGAAAGUAGGUCAUAGUGAUCCGGUGGUUCUGAAUGGAAGGGCCAUCGCUCAACGGAUAAAAGGUACUCCGGGGAUAACAGGCUGAUACCGCCCAAGAGUUCAUAUCGACGGCGGUGUUUGGCACCUCGAUGUCGGCUCAUCACAUCCUGGGGCUGAAGUAGGUCCCAAGGGUAUGGCUGUUCGCCAUUUAAAGUGGUACGCGAGCUGGGUUUAGAACGUCGUGAGACAGUUCGGUCCCUAUCUGCCGUGGGCGUUGGAUGAUUGAUUGGGGCUGCUCCUAGUACGAGAGGACCGGAGUGGACGCAUCACUGGUGUUCCGGUUGUGUCGCCAGACGCAUUGCCGGGUAGCUAAAUGCGGAAGAGAUAAGUGCUGAAAGCAUCUAAGCACGAAACUUGCCAAGAGAUGAGU